GGAGGGGUUCCCGAGUGGCCAAAGGGAUCAGACUGUAAAUCUGACGGUUCUACCUUCGGUGGUUCGAAUCCACCUCCCUCCACCA
RNAcentral lists this transfer RNA (85 nucleotides) under Psychrosphaera haliotis. RNAcentral's name for it is "tRNA-Tyr". It matches the Rfam family "tRNA". From Rfam's summary of the family: Transfer RNA (tRNA) molecules are approximately 80 nucleotides in length. Their secondary structure includes four short double-helical elements and three loops (D, anti-codon, and T loops). The record is from RNAcentral. RNAcentral also lists the same sequence under 3 other names. Lineage: Bacteria; Pseudomonadati; Pseudomonadota; Gammaproteobacteria; Alteromonadales; Pseudoalteromonadaceae.